RNAcentral lists this ribosomal RNA (650 nucleotides) under uncultured bacterium. RNAcentral's name for it is "bacterial SSU rRNA". The stretch from base 1 to 545 matches the Rfam family "Bacterial small subunit ribosomal RNA", at positions 338 to 873 of the family's 1533-position model. The record is from RNAcentral.
CCUACGGGAGGCAGCAGUUUCGAAUCAUUCACAAUGGGCGAAAGCCUGAUGGUGCGACGCCGCGUGAGGGAUGAAGGUCUUCGGAUUGUAAACCUCUGUCACCGGGGACGAAAAGUCUUAAAUAAACAGUUUAAGGCCUGACUUAACCCGGAGAGGAAGCAGUGGCUAACUCUGUGCCAGCAGCCGCGGUAAUACAGAGACUGCAAGCGUUAUUCGGAUUCACUGGGCGUAAAGGGUGCGCAGGCGGCUAAAUGUGUGGAGUGUGAAAGCUCGAAGCUUAACUUCGAAACAGCACCCCAAACUAUUUAGCUAGAGCAUUGGAGAGAGUAGCAGAAUUCACGGUGUAGCAGUGAAAUGCGUAGAUAUCGUGAGGAAUACCAGAGGCGAAGGCGGCUACUUGGACAAUUGCUGACGCUCAGGCACGAAAGCGUGGGGAGCAAAAGGGAUUAGAUACCCCUGUAGUCCACGCCCUAAACGGUGCAUACUAGGUCUCGACGGAUUCGAUCCCGUCUGGGUCUCGNGCGACGACGUUAGUAGUGUCCGCCGUGAGGACGUACCGGCCGGCCGAACGGACGUUAAACCGUUACCGAAGUUAGAGUUAGACGGCGUUGAGACGUUCGCCGACGGACGACCGACCGAGGGGAGGUAGG